Molecule: ribosomal RNA, 301 nt
Filed under: uncultured bacterium
Lineage: Bacteria
Description: partial 16S ribosomal RNA
Rfam family: Bacterial small subunit ribosomal RNA
Source: RNAcentral
CAGCCGCCGCGGUAAUACGAAGGGGGCUAGCGUUGUUCGGAUUUACUGGGCGUAAAGCGCACGUAGGCGGAUCGAUCAGUCAGGGGUGAAAUCCCAGAGCUCAACUCUGGAACUGCCUUUGAUACUGUCGAUCUGGAGUAUGGAAGAGGUGAGUGGAAUUCCGAGUGUAGAGGUGAAAUUCGUAGAUAUUCGGAGGAACACCAGUGGCGAAGGCGGCUCACUGGUCCAUUACUGACGCUGAGGAGCGAAAGCGUGGGGAGCAAACAGGAUUAGAUACCCCCGUAGUCCCUGUCUCUUAUAC